This 303-nucleotide ribosomal RNA is filed under the name uncultured bacterium. Its description in RNAcentral is "partial 16S ribosomal RNA". It matches the Rfam family "Bacterial small subunit ribosomal RNA", at positions 507 to 808 of the family's 1533-position model. The record is from RNAcentral.
AGCAGUCGCCACGGUAAUACGUAGGUCCCGAGCGUUGUCCGGAUUUAUUGGGCGUAAAGCGAGCGCAGGCGGUUAGAUAAGUCUGAAGUUAAAGGCUGUGGCUUAACCAUAGUACGCUUUGGAAACUGUUUAACUUGAGUGCAAGAGGGGAGAGUGGAAUUCCAUGUGUAGCGGUGAAAUGCGUAGAUAUAUGGAGGAACACCGGUGGCGAAAGCGGCUCUCUGGCUUGUAACUGACGCAGAGGCUCGAAAGCGUGGGGCGCAAACAGGAUUAGAUACCCCCGUAGUCCCUGUCUCUUAUACA